This 468-nucleotide ribosomal RNA is filed under the name uncultured bacterium. RNAcentral's name for it is "partial 16S ribosomal RNA". It matches the Rfam family "Bacterial small subunit ribosomal RNA", at positions 28 to 507 of the family's 1533-position model. The record is from RNAcentral.
GACGAACGCUGGCGGCGUGCUUAACACAUGCAAGUCGAACGGCAAGGCCCUGCUUUUGUGGGGUGCUCGAGUGGCGAACGGGUGAGUAACACGUGAGUAACCUGCCCUUGACUUUGGUUUAGUUUAAGGAAAUGGGGCUUAUGCCAGUAAAGAAUACGACCUGCAGGGGAGGGGAUGGGAACUUUAGGGCUGUUGGGGUUGAAUUAGCGGAUUACCAGCUUGUUGGUGGGGUGGGGGCUUACCAAGCCUUGGAGGGGUGGCUGGCCGGAGUGGGUGAAUGGCCACAUUGGGACUGAGGGAAGGCCCAGGCUCCUACGGGAGGCAGCAGUGGGGAAGAUUGCACAAUGGACGGAGGCCGGAUGCAGCAACGCCGCGUGCGGGAUGACGGCCUUCGGGUGGAAGACCGCUUUCGCCUGAGACGAAGCGUGAGUGACGGUAAUGGGUAAAGAAGCACCGGCUAACUACGUG